Molecule: ribosomal RNA, 405 nt
Filed under: uncultured prokaryote
Description: bacterial SSU rRNA
Rfam family: Bacterial small subunit ribosomal RNA
Source: RNAcentral
UGGGGGAUAUUGCACAAUGGGCGAAAGCCUGAUGCAGCAACGCCGCGUGAGGGAAGACGGUUUUCGGAUUGUAAACCUCUUUCUUCGGUGAAGAAAAAAAUGACGGUAGCCGAGGAGGAAGCCACGGCUAACUACGUGCCAGCAGCCGCGGUAAUACGUAGGUGGCGAGCGUUGUCCGGAAUUACUGGGUGUAAAGGGAGCGCAGGCGGGGAGACAAGUCAGCUGUGAAAACGAUGGGCUUAACCCAUAAACUGCAGUUGAAACUGUUUUUCUUGAGUGGGGUAGAGGUAGGCGGAAUUCCGAGUGUAGCGGUGAAAUGCGUAGAUAUUCGGAGGAACACCAGUGGCGAAGGCGGCCUACUGGGCUCUAACUGACGCUGAGGCUCGAAAGUGUGGGGAGCAAACA